Molecule: long non-coding RNA, 2552 nt
Filed under: Mus musculus (house mouse)
Lineage: Eukaryota; Metazoa; Chordata; Mammalia; Rodentia; Muridae
Description: long non-coding RNA chr10:74396519-74399071
Source: RNAcentral
ACCUAAGUUCUUACACUGUAAUUUUGAAAAGAUACACAGUUCAAGUAAUCUAUAAAUGACUUGUAGAAUACUCUUCAUGACUCUUUGGUAGUCAGAUCCUAUAUAUUUUAUUUUUAUUUGUUAUAUUUAAUGACAUUUGUAUAAUUUAAACAUUCACUAACAUUAGAGUUUUCCUUUCUGACUUAACCCAUGUAACUUUAUUUUCUGAAAAAAAAAAAAAAGAACUAUAUACAGAGAGUUGUAUUUUAGUGUACAAUUAGGUUUGGAUGUGGACCUUCCAAAUUCAAAAUGUAGAAUUCCAGAUGUGAAUCCGUUGGAUGUUAUAAACUUGCCUUUAGAUUCCUUGUUGUGUAUUCCUGCACACUCUAGGGUAAAUUUUUAGGUGUGUUCUCUCACUUCCUGUGUGUACAUGAUAGGCGUGUUCUGCAGUAUAUAUCUUCAGUGCCAUGGAAGAGCCCAGAGCUCUGGGUACAUUGGUAGACUGCUCACCCACUGAGCCAUAGCCUCAACUCUACAGUUGCAUUUGGCAAACUACCUCACUUUAAUUAAGGUAUAUCCAAGUUCCCACACAUGCUCUGUGCUUUAGGACAAGAGAUAUCGAGAGACGGGUAGUAUCUGCUUCAUCAGAUGAAGCAUGGAGGUGUCCUUUGGGGGAAAGGGCAUUGCUAAGGCUUACCCCUGGGAGAUAGCUGAGGCAAGUAACAUUAUAAACUGGAUACUGAUUUAGUGCUGUUUGUGCCCUGGACUUCUGGUCAACCAACCCUACCUGUCCUUGGGGGUUAGAGGUAAGGUGACACAGAAUCAAUGACAUAUAACCCAGAAGCAGGUGAGAAACACUGUAGCAAAGCUUGUCUGAACACUGCUACAAGCUACUAUAAAUAUCCUCCACCCAUGCCCCAUUGGUCCCAAGAAAGCAUCUCUUUCAAACAGCCGUUCCCAAUUGGCUGGCAUGGUCUGCUUCAGCAUUCUUUGGUCUCUCAGAAAGUCUUCAAUUAGGUCCUGCUACAGGAGAUGCCUUUGCAGCUGCUCAGCCCCAGCAUUUACAUAAAGAUGGACACCACUGUUCCUCCUACAUUUAGCUCAAUUUUUACUAAGAUCAGAAGUUCGAUGAUGUGAGCAUCAGUGAGAAGAAACAUGACACAGUCAUACAGCUGAGCUGCCUACCCAUGUCUGGAUCCAGGAACAGGAAAAAAAAAAAUCUCUUCUAAAAGAAUGUUCCAAAGGACUAAAAAAACAUCCUGCAAGGUUCCACCUUUCAAAGAAUCCACCAUCGUCCACUAGUCCUGGCUUGAGGGACAAUCCUUGAGCAUAAGAACUCUGAGAGGACAUUCAUCCAAGCCCUAACACUCAACAAGGAAUGAGAGUCAGUCACCAAGACCCCAAAUCCAAGUGUCAGGCUCUGUUCUAUCUCCCUUUGUGCUCAUUGUUGUUUGUUUGUUUGUUUGUUUGUUGGGAGGUUUUUUUGUUUUUUGUUUUUCAAAAAUUUCUGGCUGGUUCUAUGAAUAGGCAUCUUCUAGAAUUCUGCUGGGGUUUUUUUGUUUGUUUGUUUGUUUGUUUGUUUUUGUUUUUCAAAAAUUUCUGGCUGGUUCUAUGAAUAGGCAUCUUCUAGAAUUCUGCUGGGGUUUUGUUUGUUUGUUUGUUUUGUUUUUUGUUUUUGCUUUUUUGUUUUUUUAACCAAGCAUCAAGUCUGAUGUUUAGUUGAAUCUACUGACUAUGGAAGACGUUUUCUUUAAAUGCUAUUUAAUGAGAUUUUCACAUCAGGUCCUAAGAUUUCCCCCCAUCCCAUUCUCAUGUGUAUGUAUGUGUGCCUGUCUAUACAUGUGUGUAUGUGUGCAUGUGCAUGUGGGAGGGUAUGUGUCCAUGUGUGUAUAUGUGUAUAUAUCUGGGUGUAUGUGUGCAUACAUAUGUAUAUUGUGUACAUGUGUAUGCAUGUAUGCUUGUGUGUGUUAUGCAUGUGUGUGCACGUAUAUAGACACACAUGUGGAUAUACAUGGAUUUGGAAGCUGAUGUCAGUAAAUACCCUGGAUUGUUCUUCCACUUUUUUCAGUGUGGUAGGGUCACUCAACCAAAUCCAGAGAUCACUGAUCUGUCUAGCCUCUAUAGCCAGCUUGCUCUGAGGAUCCCUUAUCUCUGUCUCCAAGGUUGGAAUCAUGAGUGGAUCAUCACACACACCUAUCAUGUGUACGGAUUCUGAUGACCUAAACUCUGAUACUUACACUUCCACAGCAAAUACUUACACACUGAACCACCUCCCCAGCCCAUGUCCUGAGAAUUUGAUUGGCUAGUUUGAAUCCAUUCUUUCUUCUUCCAUAGAUCUGCCAAUACUCUGACUGCCAACUUUAUGGCCAUUAUCAUUUUUAGUCCCUGUUUCCAAUCUGAGAGAGAAAAUACUUUGCAUUUUCCUUCUACUCCAAUGCAUCACCAAGGAGAGCCUGGACCAUUGUGAUGUUAGAGGUGUUACAUCACCAACUAGAGAGCAGAUGUGAAGCCAUUCAUGCAGUGGCUCCACUGCUUCACACCAUCUCUAGUGUCAAGAACCACACAUGGAUUUU